This 449-nucleotide ribosomal RNA is filed under the name uncultured bacterium. RNAcentral describes it as "partial 16S ribosomal RNA". It matches the Rfam family "Bacterial small subunit ribosomal RNA", at positions 29 to 523 of the family's 1533-position model. The record is from RNAcentral.
AACGAACGCUGGCGGCAUGCCUAACACAUGCAAGUCGAACGAGAUCUUCGGGUCUAGUGGCGCACGGGUGCGUAACGCGUGGGAAUCUGCCCUUUGGUUCGGAAUAACAGUUGGAAACGACUGCUAAUACCGGAUGAUGACGAAAGUCCAAAGAUUUAUCGCCAGAGGAUGAGCCCGCGUAGGAUUAGCUAGUUGGUGUGGUAAAGGCGCACCAAGGCGACGAUCCUUAGCUGGUCUGAGAGGAUGAUCAGCCACACUGGGACUGAGACACGGCCCAGACUUCUACGGGAGGCAGCAGUGGGGAAUAUUGGACAAUGGGCGAAAGCCUGAUCCAGUAAUGCCGCGUGAGUGAUGAAGGCCUUAGGGUUGUAAAGCUCUUUUACCCGGGAUGAUAAUGACAGUACCGGGAGAAUAAGCUCCGGCUAACUCCGUGCCAGCCGCCGCGGUAA